AAAAACCUCAGUAGUGCUUUCUUGCUAGAAGAUACAAAGACAAAGACUCAUACGGACUUUGGCUACAUUAUCAAAGUUUUG
This 81-nucleotide small RNA is filed under the name Arabidopsis thaliana (thale cress). Its description in RNAcentral is "ATSL268260". Lineage: Eukaryota; Viridiplantae; Streptophyta; Magnoliopsida; Brassicales; Brassicaceae. The record is from RNAcentral.